RNAcentral lists this unclassified non-coding RNA (521 nucleotides) under Hevea brasiliensis (rubber tree). Lineage: Eukaryota; Viridiplantae; Streptophyta; Magnoliopsida; Malpighiales; Euphorbiaceae. The record is from RNAcentral.
GUUAAUGAUAAGGGUCGCCAUUUUUUCAUUUUAAUGCUUGCUUGAAAUUGUAUAAGAACAAAAAUCAUUAAAACAAGAAACCAAAAAUCCUUGUUUUGCAGGGUUUUUUUUUUUUUUUACUACAAUUCUUUUCAUUUUUUCUUCUCGUCAUUUCUCCUAUCCUCUCCAUUAUCUUCAUCAUCUUGCUUUCCUGGGUGAGAUAAUUUUUUUUUCCCUCUCCCUCCUUUCUCCUCUUCAUCAUCAUCGUCCUUCUUUUACUCUAUAAUUCUUUUUUCAUUUUCAGUUUGUACCUAAAAUUAUCAUUGUUGCCAGAUUUUAUAAUUUGAUCUAUUUCUUGUUCAGGAGUGUAGUUAUUCUACAUUUUCUAUUGAAAUUUCUGGAGUUCUCCACCUUUGGUCAUGAUUAAUGCAAUUGGAUUUCUAUAGGGUUAAUGCAAAUGGGUUUCUCCAAAGAAAACUAAUUUGAAAUAUAUAGAAGUUUAACAGUGGGCAAUUACAUUGCACUGGGAAUUUCAAGUUUUU